Molecule: ribosomal RNA, 591 nt
Filed under: uncultured bacterium
Lineage: Bacteria
Description: partial 16S ribosomal RNA
Rfam family: Bacterial small subunit ribosomal RNA
Source: RNAcentral
UGGGGAAUAUUGGACAAUGGGCGAAAGCCUGAUCCAGCCAUGCCGCGUGUGUGAAGAAGGUCUUCGGAUUGUAAAGCACUUUAAGUUGGGAGGAAGGGCAUUAACCUAAUACGUUAGUGUUUUGACGUUACCGACAGAAUAAACGACCGGCUAACUUCGUGCCAGCAGCCGCGGUAAUACGAAGGGUGCAAGCGUUAAUCGGAAUUACUGGGCGUAAAGCGCGCGUAGGUGGUUCGUUAAGUUGGAUGUGAAAGCCCCCGGGCUCAACCUGGGAACUGCAUCCAAAAACUGGCGAGCUAGAGUACGGUAGAGGGUGGUGGAAUUUCCUGUGUAGCGGUGAAAUGCGUAGAUAUAGGAAGGAACACCAGUGGCGAAGGCGACCACCUGGACUGAUACUGACACUGAGGUGCGAAAGCGUGGGGAGCAAAACAGGAUUAGAUACCCUGGUAGUCCACGCCGUAAACGAUGUCAACUAGCCGUUGGGUUCCUUGAGAACUUAGUGGCGCAGCUAACGCAUUAAGUUGACCGCCUGGGGAGUACGGCCGCAAGGUUAAAACUCAAAUGAAUUGACGGGGUCAUAGCUGUUUCCUG